GAUGAACGCUAGCUACAGGCUUAACACAUGCAAGUCGAGGGGCAGCAUGGUCUUAGCUUGCUAAGGCCGAUGGCGACCGGCGCACGGGUGAGUAACGCGUAUCCAACCUGCCUUACACUCUUGGACAGCCUUCUGAAAGGGAGAUUAAUACAAGAUGUUAUCAUGAGUAAGCAUUUUCGCAUGAUUAAAGGUUUACCGGUGUAAGAUGGGGAUGCGUUCCAUUAGAUAGUAGGCGGGGUAACGGCCCACCUAGUCUUCGAUGGAUAGGGGUUCUGAGAGGAAGGUCCCCCACAUUGGAACUGAGACACGGUCCAAACUCCUACGGGAGGCAGCAGUGAGGAAUAUUGGUCAAUGGACGAGAGUCUGAACCAGCCAAGUAGCGUGAAGGAUGAAGGUUCUAUGGAUUGUAAACUUCUUUUAUACGGGAAUAAACGGAUCCACGUGUGGAUUUUUGCAUGUACCGUAUGAAUAAGGAUCGGCUAACUCCGUGCCAGCAGCCGCGGUAAUACGGAGGAUCCGAGCGUUAUCCGGAUUUAUUGGGUUUAAAGGGAGCGUAGAUGGGUUGUUAAGUCAGUUGUGAAAGUUUGCGGCUCAACCGUAAAAUUGCAAUUGAUACUGGCAGUCUUGAGUACAGUUGAGGUAGGCGGAAUUCGUGGUGUAGCGGUGAAAUGCUUAGAUAUCACGAAGAACUCCGAUUGCGAAGGCAGCUUACUAACCUGUAACUGACAUUGAUGCUCGAAAGUGUGGGUAUCAAACAGGAUUAGAUACCCUGGUAGUCCACACGGUAAACGAUGAAUACUCGCUGUAGGCGAUAUACAGUCUGCGGCCAAGCGAAAGCAUUAAGUAUUCCACCUGGGGAGUACGCCGGCAACGGUGAAACUCAAAGGAAUUGACGGGGGCCCGCACAAGCGGAGGAACAUGUGGUUUAAUUCGAUGAUACGCGAGGAACCUUACCCGGGCUUAAAUUGCAACCGAAUAUGGCGGAAACGCUAUAGCUAGCAAUAGCGGUUGUGAAGGUGCUGCAUGGUUGUCGUCAGCUCGUGCCGUGAGGUGUCGGCUUAAGUGCCAUAACGAGCGCAACCCUUGCCGAUAGUUACUAACAGGUUAUGCUGAGGACUCUGUCGGGACUGCCAUCGUAAGAUGUGAGGAAGGUGGGGAUGAUGUCAAAUCAGCACGGCCCUUACGUCCGGGGCUACACACGUGUUACAAUGGGGGGUACAGAGGGCUGCUACCACGCAAGUGGAUGCCAAUCCCAAAAACCUCUCUCAGUUCGGAUUGAAGUCUGCAACCCGACUUCAUGAAGCUGGAUUCGCUAGUAAUCGCGCAUCAGCCACGGCGCGGUGAAUACGUUCCCGGGCCU
Molecule: ribosomal RNA, 1360 nt
Filed under: uncultured bacterium
Lineage: Bacteria
Description: bacterial SSU rRNA
Rfam family: Bacterial small subunit ribosomal RNA
Source: RNAcentral